AUUAUUUUUUAGAACAAAAAAAAACAGCAUUAAUUACUGCUUUGUACAGUACUCAGUACUGUUUUGGAAGAAAAUGAGGUUAAAAUGUUUGGGACAGUAGAGAGCGCUACA
This is a long non-coding RNA of Cotesia glomerata, 111 nucleotides long. RefSeq lists it as uncharacterized. The record is from RefSeq and is a predicted model, not a curated record. The transcript is spliced from 3 exons. NCBI's taxonomy places the organism in Eukaryota, Metazoa, Arthropoda, Insecta, Hymenoptera, Braconidae.